This 193-nucleotide unclassified non-coding RNA is filed under the name plant metagenome. RNAcentral's name for it is "partial contains small subunit ribosomal RNA and internal transcribed spacer 1". The stretch from base 1 to 46 matches the Rfam family "Eukaryotic small subunit ribosomal RNA", at positions 1786 to 1831 of the family's 1831-position model. The record is from RNAcentral.
AAGUCGUAACAAGGUCUCCGUUGGUGAACCAGCGGAGGGAUCAUUACCGAGUUUACAACUCCCAAACCCCUGUAACAUACCUUAAUGUGCCUCGGCGGACAGCCCGCGCCCGUAAAACGGGACGGCCCGCCAGGGACCCAAACUCUAAUGUUUCUUAUUGUAACUUCUGAGUAAAACAACAAAUAAAUCAAAA